RNAcentral lists this non-coding RNA (26 nucleotides) under Mus musculus (house mouse). Lineage: Eukaryota; Metazoa; Chordata; Mammalia; Rodentia; Muridae. The record is from RNAcentral.
UGCUCCAUUGCUGUACUCACACCGAU